RNAcentral lists this long non-coding RNA (1435 nucleotides) under Heterocephalus glaber (naked mole-rat). RNAcentral's name for it is "lncRNA (ENSHGLG00000046240.1)". The record is from RNAcentral. Lineage: Eukaryota; Metazoa; Chordata; Mammalia; Rodentia; Bathyergidae.
GCUUGAGCACAGCUGGGUGGGAGGGUUCUACAUGGAAAUUCAGGGGUCCCCAGGCCUAACCUCCGUGGGUGUGGCCAGCACUCGCCUCUCCUUCCACUUCCGGUGUAAACUGAGUCACGACCACCCACCAGUGCCCACCCUCGGCUCCUCCCCUUCCCCCAUCAGCCCCUGCACCACCCACCCUGCUCUCUCCACCCCACGCCCCGAAGUGCAGGACCAGCGCAGACGGAAACAGAAAGCAGCAACUGCAGGCUAAGCGCGCUUUACUGAGCAUAUACAACAGCACACAGGAAGCAAAGAACCCCGUCCAUUCAAAUGAAGGGCUAACUGGGGAAGCGGCUGCCUGAUUUCGCAUCCUGCACCCAUGAUAGGAAAGAAGUUCUCAGGGUGUGUGUGGGCGGCACAGGGAGUGUCGCCUGGGGCUCGGGGUCCCCUUCUGCAAUGGAAGUAACAUCCACGGUAUCACCUGGAACCAACUCUUCCCGGGAUGCACAGCCCUGAGCCGCAAUGUUUUGGUCAACAACGGAACAGACGGAUGACUUUGCAGCCGCCGCAGUUUGUGUAAGGACAGGCCCCGGGUCUGCACCACGAUGAAACUGCCACUCCUCAGAGAGCGUCCUGCUCCUCCAGCACCGCGAGGGCUGACUGAACUGGAGUGGUCGGGGCGCUGCUCACCGGGUGUGCCGUACAGGCUGCUCCAUGCCUUCGUGCCUUUUCUUGGUCCACACAGCAAGCUGCAACCCAGAGCGACUGACGGCAAUGAAAGAAAUGAUCAUGAAACACAUGGGGUCCGCCCAUGUUCACAUCUUUUCUUCUUACACAUGACUUCGCUGGGAGCUCGCGUGCAGCAGAUAUUCCCAAAGCACUGACCGGAAGCUGGCACUCUUAGCUCCUGAGGCCACUUUCCGUUCACACUCCUCAUUUCACAGAACCCGCUCAUGCAGGGUUACUUGGGCCUGGCACCAGGACAUGGAUGGAGGAGCCGGCCUGGGUCUUCUGGAAAAGUGUUUCAUGGUUCUCAGACAUUUCCCUAAGUCUGCCUGAGAGGUUCUACUUGGCUGGUGGAGCCCAAGACACCAAUUCUACACAUCUGGGUGAAUUUUUCAGCAGCAAAUUAAUUAGACACCCUUUCGUGUGGUUGAGGAGGAAGAUGCACAAGCAGAGAAACAAGACUGAGAAGGGCUGCCGGGACCAGGUCAUUUCAUUGUUCAAAGAAAAAAUUCGGUGGAAGGAGCCUUCUCCGUGCUCAUUAGGAACCCAGGCCUCCGCGUUCCCAUGCAAGAAGGGGAACAGAAGGAAUCUCAGUUGCUUUUUCAUGAGAUCUGACCCAGAGUUGAACAAAGAGAAUUGUAAAGCUUUUGCAUAUGCCAUUUUGAGGAGGGGGGCAUCAAUCUCUUUCCUCCUUCUCUGGUGUUUGUUGCUUGAAUAAAAAGAA